Molecule: small RNA, 488 nt
Filed under: Pan troglodytes (chimpanzee)
Lineage: Eukaryota; Metazoa; Chordata; Mammalia; Primates; Hominidae
Description: processed transcript
Source: RNAcentral
GGAGGCGGCGUUGCCGGGCUCUCCGGAAGGAGACGUGGCGGCGGUUGGGCCGGUGAUACCCGGGCGCUUUAUAGUCCCGCCGCCUCCUCCUCCACCUCCUCCUCCUCCUCCUCCUCUCCUCCUGGAGCAGAGGAGGUUGUGGCGGUGGCUGGAGAAAGCGGCGGCGGAGGAUGGAGGAAGGAGGCGGCGGCGUACGGAGUCUGGUCCCGGGCGGGCCGGUGUUACUGGUCCUCUGCGGCCUCCUGGAGGCGUCCGGCGGCGGCCGAGCCCUCCCUCAACUCAGCGAUGACAUCCCUUUCCGAGUCAACUGGCCCGGCACCGAGUUCUCUCUGAGGCAGGGUCUCACUAUGUUGCCUAGGCUGGUCUCGAACUCCUGGGCUCAAGCAAUCCUCCUGCCUCAGCCUCCCAGAAUACUGGGAUUACAUGUGUGAACCAAAUGUUCUGAAUUUAUCUAGCCCACAACUGGAGUUUUGUAUAAAGAAGAUAAU